Molecule: transfer RNA, 73 nt
Filed under: Canis lupus familiaris (dog)
Lineage: Eukaryota; Metazoa; Chordata; Mammalia; Carnivora; Canidae
Also listed under: 2 other names
Rfam family: tRNA
About the family: Transfer RNA (tRNA) molecules are approximately 80 nucleotides in length. Their secondary structure includes four short double-helical elements and three loops (D, anti-codon, and T loops).
Source: Rfam by way of RNAcentral
AUCUGACUGGCUCAGUCAGUAGAGCAUGUGACUCUUGAUCUCAGGGUUGUGGGUUUGAGCCCCAUGUUGGGCA